Long non-coding RNA from Quercus lobata, 462 nucleotides. RefSeq lists it as uncharacterized. The record is from RefSeq and is a predicted model, not a curated record. The transcript is spliced from 2 exons. Lineage: Eukaryota; Viridiplantae; Streptophyta; Magnoliopsida; Fagales; Fagaceae.
UGAGGCAAGGAUGGUUUCAUAUAUUUUGAAAUACAUAGCAUCUACCUUCACGGGAAAGAGGGUCCCAUCUACUGCCAAAUAGUUGUAUUUUCAGCAAUGGAUCCACCUCCACCACCAUCGACACCACUGCUUGGCCCAGCUCCACCUGGUGGAGGAUUCUUAGGCUGCUGUGUAUGGUUUCUGUGCUGCUGUGGUUUGUUUAGAAGCUGCUUUCCUCCACUCUUUGAGUCUGGGCCUCCCCCUCCCUAGUGGUGGUGCAUUACUUUUGUACCUAAUUUUCUAAGAGAUGUAUUGUUUGUGUAUUUUGCGGGAAAUAGUAACCAAUGUCUAGUUGGCUUCUGAUUUAGUCAUUAAAUUGUACUAGUGUAACCUUAAAUUUUGUGGCAAUGAUGCCUUUUUAUCCUCUUAUUCAUCUUGUUUCAUGAAUGUUCUCUAUGUGGAAGUCUAAGUCCCGGUUGCAGA